CCGUGCUAGACGGGGAGCUAGCGGUGCCCUGAACUCGCAAUCCGCUAUAGCGGGGUUGAACUCCUCCCCUAGGCGUGGCGAAUGGGUCUAUAUCCCAAGGUUUCGAUGUUGAAGGCCGGGUCCCACGCGGCGUAGGCCUGUGAACCCCGCCAGGUCCGGAAGGAAGCAACGGUAAACAGGACCCUGUGGGUGCCGUGGGAGCGCCUGGCCGGAGUCGAGUCCCGGGACACGCCCGGUGGCCAUUUUCAAAGGGGGGUGCGCGG
This 263-nucleotide signal recognition particle RNA is filed under the name SAR202 cluster bacterium Io17-Chloro-G2. Its description in RNAcentral is "signal recognition particle sRNA large type". It matches the Rfam family "Bacterial large signal recognition particle RNA". From Rfam's summary of the family: The signal recognition particle (SRP) is a universally conserved ribonucleoprotein involved in the co-translational targeting of proteins to membranes. Archaeal SRP consists of a 7S RNA and homologues of the eukaryotic SRP19 and SRP54 proteins. The record is from RNAcentral. Lineage: Bacteria; Bacillati; Chloroflexota; Dehalococcoidia.